RNAcentral lists this ribosomal RNA (508 nucleotides) under Scyllarus subarctus. RNAcentral describes it as "partial large subunit ribosomal RNA". It matches the Rfam family "Bacterial large subunit ribosomal RNA", at positions 1811 to 2585 of the family's 2925-position model. The record is from RNAcentral. Lineage: Eukaryota; Metazoa; Arthropoda; Malacostraca; Decapoda; Scyllaridae.
AAACAUGUCUUUAUGAGUGUUUAUGUAAAGUCUAGCCUGCCCAGUGAUAUAAAGUUUAACGGCCGCGGUAUAUUGACCGUGCGAAGGUAGCAUAAUAAUUAGUCUUUUAAUUGAAGACUGGAAUGAAAGGUUGAACAAGAAGUUAGCUGUCUCUAAAUUAAAUUUUGAAUUUAACAUUUAAGUGAAAAGGCUUAAAUAUUUUAAAGGGACGAUAAGACCCUAUAAAUCUUUAUACUUGAUUUUAUAGAGCAAAAUAUUAAAAUAAUUUUUGUUCAAUAGGUUUGGGUAUUUUGUUGGGGCGACAGGAGUAUAAAAUGUAACUGCUCUAAAAUGAUAGUUAGUUGAUAUUUAGUUAAGUGAUCCUUUAAUAAAGAUGUUAGUUUAAGUUACUUUAGGGAUAACAGCGUAAUUUUUUUUGAGAGUCCAUAUCGAAAAAAAAGUUUGCGACCUCGAUGUUGAAUUAAAGAUCCUUUGCGGUGCAGAAGUUGUAGAAGGAGGUCUGUUCGAC